This 383-nucleotide ribosomal RNA is filed under the name uncultured eukaryote. Its description in RNAcentral is "partial 18S ribosomal RNA". It matches the Rfam family "Eukaryotic small subunit ribosomal RNA", at positions 592 to 976 of the family's 1831-position model. The record is from RNAcentral.
CAAUAGCGUAUAUUUAAGUUGUUGCAGUUAAAAAGCUCGUAGUUGGAUUUCUGGUGGGAGCGAUCGGUCUGGCGCUUAGCGCGAGUACUUGCAUCGUCUCCGGCCAUCCUUGGGGAGAGUCUGUCUGGCAUUAAGUUGUCGGGCAGAGGAUCCUCAUCGUUUACUGUGAAAAAAUUAGAGUGUUCAAAGCAGGCUUAUGCCGUUGAAUAUAUUAGCAUGGAAUAAUAAGAUAGGACUUUGGUACUAUUUUGUUGGUUUGCGCACCAAAGUAAUGAUUAAUAGGGACAGUUGGGGGUAUUCGUAUUCCGUUGUCAGAGGUGAAAUUCUUGGAUUUACGGAAGACGAACUACUGCGAAAGCAUUUACCAAGGAUGUUUUCAUUAA